UCACAAAAUCCCGCUCAAACUAAAACCCUAAACCAAAACACACGUAGAUGGCUUCCUUCUCCUACAAUCUUCUUUCCUUAUGGCAAGAUAGGUAACCUUUAUUUGCUUCUUUUACUCUUCAUCUCUUUCGUUGUUACUCUUCCAUUUUGAUUCUCCUGUAUGAUUGAAGGGUGUUACAAUCUAUACCCCUAACUCUUUGCCGUCUUCAACGUUAUCGAUUUCACCGGUACACAUUCAUUAUUGAUUUAUCAAACAUUUGCCUCAUCUUGACUGUCGUAUGACAAACCCUACCAUUGUCAUUAUCAUAUUUGGCGAUUUCAUCCACGUUUGACUUGGCUGUUGCUCGCGAUCUAACACCGUCGGAAUCAACUGAUAGCUAUAACCAAUGGCGGAGCACGGUGGUUUUCUAAUUCAUGGAUCUUAAGAUAUGUCUAUGAAUCAGUUGGUUGGAUGAUUCUCAUGGAGUGAAAUGGCUGAAUAAAUAGUUAAGCAAACUUUGGCCAUAUGUUGAAGAAGCUGCUCGUAUUAUAACUAAGGAAUCCGUUGAGCCACUAUUGGAAGAUUAUCGCCCAACUGGAAUUACAUCAUUGAAGUUUAAUAAACUCUCUCUUCGGACUGUACCCCACAACUGUUCGAACACAAUGGGUCCCUGUUUCUUCAAGAUUCAUGGUUUCAAGCGGGUUUUGUUCUUACAACGGGGAUCAACAGCGCCUAUGUUCUGGGAUAUUCAGGCGCAAUCAUGGUUCCGCUCAGUUGGGCAGGUGGAGUAGUGGGUUUAAUCUUAGCCACAAUAAUAUCACUCAAUGCAAAUGUUCUUAUUACAAUGCUUCAUGAGUUUGGUGGCAAAAGGCAUAUCAGAUACAGAGAAAGAAUCAUAGGAUUCAUAUACGACCCGAAAGCUUAUUCUCUUACGUGGGUGUUGAAAUAUGUAAACCUUCUCAUGAUCAAUGUCAAUUAUGUUAUAUUGGCUGGUCAGGCUCUCAAGGUACCGUCAAUAAGCCCAAACUGUUUAAGAUGUGACAUUAUCGACCCAUUUACUUAUGAAUGGGUCAAUUUGGAUUGUGUUUUUUAUUCCAAACCGGUAGCUAAAAUGGCAAAGGGAUCGAACAGGUUGGAGGUGGCACAAAGUCUGUAUUACUUGCAUACAACUACCUUAAUUGUUUUUAAAAAAAUAGUUUAUUCAUUGCAAUAGUAUUUUUAAUUAUAAUUAACGUAUUAAUUAUUUGUAGUACUUUUUUUAGAAAUGACUAAAAGUGCUAAAGUGCGAUGACAUGUAUUUUUAGAAAUGACUAAAAUGACUUGGAUUAGUCAAUAAUUUUUAGGUAUCAAACUGUUAAACGGGUCAAAAUGGGUAAAUGGGUAAAUGGUCAAAUGGGUCAAGUAUGUUAAACAAUGUUUUAAUUGAGUUUAUGGCUAAUGUAGUUGGACAUUCUGUUGGCUGAAAAACAUUUGAUGAAAGUAUGUAGAAGUACGUCGACAUUAUGCCUGCCUUAAGCUAAAGUUAGUUAAUUCUGAAACUGAAUUAUGUAUACCAGCUAUGUAUUUUGUAGACCACUUUAACAAGGCUGUAUAGGUAGCGAUGAGCUCUGUACCAACGGGUACAAAAAUUCCUAAAAAGGGUAUCGAUACCCAAAAUACCUGGUUCGGUAUGGUUCGAUACCGGCAUGGACCGGUAUUCAGCAUCACUUUAACAACGCCGGAGCCACGGUGGCUUGAGGCAGAGCUAUGACAGUGGUGAUGAUGAACAAUAUGGUGGUUAGAUUCUGUUUCCUUCACCUCCCUCGACCCUUUGAAUUGAAGUUGUUUCAGAUCGUCGUGAAGGAAAUUCCGUUAGAUACAAGGUGACAAUUAACGGGUCUACUCGAGUAGUCAACAAAUCAUUGACAUCUGCGAUAGAAGUAUCAAUUAUAUAUGCGCCGAGAAUUGGUCAGUGAUAAUUUUUAAACAUGAAGGUAUUCAUGGAUGCCCUUAACGCCUCGAAUCAAUUGACGAAGUUGGAGGACUCAGUGGAUGUGACAAUUAACAUCGAUUACGAGUUCUCUGCACAUCGAUUUUAUCGAAGGAAAGACUGAUUUUGGUGAUCCCUUUGAUGUUCCAGCGAAAUGUUGGCUUCUUGCAAACUCUUCCUUUGUCAAGAUAGUCCACUGUUUUCGAUAUCGAUUUUUACUUUCAAAUAUCGGUCCGUACCGGUACUGGUACCUACCGUACUGUAACUGGUAUUUUUGCUACCGGUAUCGGCACCAAAUUUUGGGAAUUUCGUUACCAGUGUUUUCGGUACCGAGCUCAUCCCUAUAAUGGAUUGAUUUGUCAGGUAAUAUUCGUGUCUAUAUCUUUCCCCACAUAAGUUUGUUUUUCUUUUAAAUUGCUAUUAUGCUUAUUUAAAUAAAUGGUUCCACUUAAUCAUCAUUAUGUUUAAAAGAUCUUAAUAAGCUUAGGUUGGCCUAGGGAUGAGCUCGGUACCAACCGGUACCAGAAAUCCACAAAAGUGGUACCGGUACCGAAUAUACCCGGUACGUUUGGUACCGGUCUUUGAGGGUAAAUACCGGUACCGAAAAUGUCAAAAGUCGGUACCGAAUUGGUAUUGAAAAUGUACCCGAUUUGAUAAAUUCGGUACCGGUACCCGGUACCCUUUCCUCAUCCCUAUAUUGGCAAUCUCCAUUUGUUUAGCACUUCUUAUGGUGGUGGAUAGUUAUUGAAGUUAAAUAAUGUUCUAAUUAUGUUCUAUUCCAUUUUGCAACUUUCACCUCCUUUUGGCUACUUCUAUAGCUUUGUACAGGUAAUAUUCAUUGUAUCAUGUUGCAACCUUGAAGAUCCUUCGUAACACAGAGAUAUCUUUCUAAACAUAUGUUUGAUUGUUUCUUUUGUUAGUCAAAUUAGUUUGACAAGAGGAAGCAAUUUGGGGAUGGUGGGUCAAAAGCUUAACAUGAGAUAUCCAACUAUAGGCUUUUCUGUAAUUUUUUUAAAGAAAAAUGAAACGUCGAUAUUUAGUAAGAGCUUAUUGUAUAUAAUGUUAGUAAUUAUUAGUUUAUAAAUAUGUAUAAGAGCUUAUUGUAUAUAAUGUGGUUGGCGAUAGCUAAAGAUGAAAGAGACUAUUAAAGGUAAAUAUAUUAGCUUUGUUCGAGCAAUUUAGGAAAAUGUGGUGCCUAAAAAAAUCUUUAACGACUUGUGAUUUUUUCUUAUUCAUUUCUUUCAAUUCAUUGUUCCUUAAUUUUAAGGAAUAGAACGUUUUUCUUUUUUUUCAUUUAAAAGUUUAUUGAACACUGCUAAGUAAAUGGCAAAUUCAAAUUUAAAUUUGAAGAUAAUGAAUAUGGGGUUUGGAUGUUAAUUUCUCCUCCGUUCAUUAAUUACAUGUUUGUGGUAGGCUGAAGGUGUUGUUUCAUCCAGCAUUCAACCUCUUUAGAAUACAAAUAUAUUUGUGAGUAGAAACUCUGAUUACUGUGUUUGCUUUCUCAUCAUGCCAUUACAUUCUCAUAUUCAGUUUUGAUUAAUUAACCAUGCUUAAAUGUAUGAGAACUAUAUUGGAGAAGUUCUUAGUGCUGAAGAGAAGAUUCUUGGGGCUCAAUAUGAUAUCAGCCCGCUAACACUCCCCUCAAACUUCCUGAUUACUUUAACAUUGGAGGCGUUUUUCAUGUUGGAAGCAUAUCUGAUAGACCAACUGGUGGCGGUCUUUAUGAAGAUACGUCGGUUAGACUAGAAGGUAUGGUUUG
Helianthus annuus (common sunflower) is the source of this 3707-nucleotide long non-coding RNA. RefSeq lists it as uncharacterized. Lineage: Eukaryota; Viridiplantae; Streptophyta; Magnoliopsida; Asterales; Asteraceae. The transcript is spliced from 8 exons. The record is from RefSeq and is a predicted model, not a curated record.